RNAcentral lists this long non-coding RNA (1264 nucleotides) under Melopsittacus undulatus (budgerigar). Its description in RNAcentral is "lncRNA (ENSMUNG00000017730.1)". The record is from RNAcentral. Lineage: Eukaryota; Metazoa; Chordata; Aves; Psittaciformes; Psittaculidae.
CGCACGGGGAGGAGGGGCUGCGAAGGGGCAGCGGCGAUUCGCGGCGGCGGCGGGGCUGGAAGUUACCGAGUUGCAGUGUCGCAGAAAAGGGAAGCGAACGAAGCCAAAAUGCCCCAGGGGAGCGCGGCCCCGCUGGGGAGGCGGGAUGAGGGAGCUUGGCCCUCCCCUCAGCCCCCCUCCUCCACCCGCCGCGGCUCCCCCAGCCCCCGUAGCCAGGCCCCUGCCCCUCCUGGGCGCGGGGCUUCGGCAGCCCCGGGCUCUUUCGGCGCUCGGCGGGGCCUCGGGGCGCGGCGGGUUUGGCAUCUGCGCACACGCCGGACUGAUGCAUCUUGUGGCUUCUAGGAGCGAUGGCAAGAGGAGGAGUGUUGUCAACGCGAGUACAAGCGAGGGAUGAUGAUGCCUGCAACCUAUGGCUGAACUGGAGAUAAAACCAGAGGAGGCCAUAAGAAAUAUUGGAGAGAUCUUCCCAGAGAAGAGAUGAGCUGAACCAUGUAGGUAAAAAUUCAUGAUAUUACAUUCAAAAUAAUUUAUUGGAAGAAAUAAUACGAGUCGGUCAUGUUCCUUCUGGGCUUCUAAACCAGUGUAAGAAAAAAAGCUGUAUUUGAUAGUUGGUAGUAAAUAAUUUAAAAACACCGUUCCAUUUAUUACAGAAUCAACAUUGAGAAUAUGGUAAUUUUUGUCUAGAACUCUUAAUAUUAAACCAGUCAAACAAAAUAAUGAUACAUCUUCUGUUGGAAUACUGCAUUGAGUCACUCACUGUAUCUCCAGAGAAUUAGAGUUCAGAGAUACAUGAGGAAAAUACUAGGAACAAGCAAAACAUACUCUAGGAAUAGGAUUAAGGACCAAGGGAAAUGGAAUAAAAUGUUUGGCAGAAGUAGUAUUUAAGUAUGGCAUGCAAAAUUUCCUUGUUUCAGAGAAGGUAAAUCAGGAUCUUCUUAAACACUAGGACAUAGUUCAAGAACCGAAGUAGUUGAACAGUUUCAAAUUAAAAAUUGUUUUUCCCCUAUCACAAAAUACAGCCAUCCCAGCCUUUCUUUUUCCUCAGAAACCACUACAGCAAGGAUUUCAGCACUUUCCAGAAGAACUGACACUUCUAUAGGUAAGACUCCAGAAAGAUCGUUAGUCUGAUCCAGCACAGCCUUGUUGCUAGCUUUAAGACAAUCCUUAGUUUUUCCCAAGUGUUUCUUUCUACUGUUGUUUGAUUUCAUUUAGAGCUGUGAAGUAUUUUUAUGUCUGUGUAGUUGGAAUAUCUGCUUUCCCCAAA